GACGAAGGUGGCAAGCGUUGUUCGGAAUUACUGGGCUUAAAGGGCGCGUAGGCGGAAUAUUAAGCGUUUUGUGAAAUCCCCCGGCUCAACCGGGGAAUCGCUUGGCGAUCUGGUAUUCUUGAGGCAAGCAGGGGUGCAUGGAACUCUUGGUGGAGCGGUGGAAUGCGUAGAUAUCAAGAGGAACGCCAAUGGUGAAGACAGUGCACUGGGCUUGUUCUGACGCUGAGGCGCGAAAGCGUGGGGAUCAAACAGGAUUAGAUACCCUGGUAGUCCACGCCCUAAACAAUGUCUACUAGGUUGUGGGAGACUGACUCUCUCGCGGCCGAAGCAAAAGUGUUAAGUAGACCGCCUGGGGAGUACGGUCGCAAGGCUAAA
RNAcentral lists this ribosomal RNA (375 nucleotides) under uncultured bacterium. Its description in RNAcentral is "bacterial SSU rRNA". It matches the Rfam family "Bacterial small subunit ribosomal RNA", at positions 524 to 898 of the family's 1533-position model. The record is from RNAcentral.